UACAUAGGGGGCAAGCGUUAUCCGGAUUUACUGGGCGUAAAGGGUGCAUAGGUUGUUAUUUAAGUUUCUGGUAUAAGCACAAUGCUUAACGUUGUGAGGCUGGGAAAACUAGAUAGCUAGAGUAAGACAGAGGCAAGUGGAAUUCCAUGUGUAGCGGUAAAAUGCGUAAAUAUAUGGAGGAACACCAGUGGCGAAGGCGGCUUGCUGGGUCUUGACUGACGCUGUUGCACGAAAGCGUGGGGAGCAAACAGGAUUAGAUACCCGGGUAGU
RNAcentral lists this ribosomal RNA (270 nucleotides) under uncultured prokaryote. Its description in RNAcentral is "partial 16S ribosomal RNA". It matches the Rfam family "Bacterial small subunit ribosomal RNA", at positions 524 to 794 of the family's 1533-position model. The record is from RNAcentral.